This 75-nucleotide transfer RNA is filed under the name Schistocerca americana (American grasshopper). Its description in RNAcentral is "tRNA-Ser". It matches the Rfam family "tRNA". Rfam says of the family: Transfer RNA (tRNA) molecules are approximately 80 nucleotides in length. Their secondary structure includes four short double-helical elements and three loops (D, anti-codon, and T loops). The record is from RNAcentral. RNAcentral also lists the same sequence under 1 other name. Lineage: Eukaryota; Metazoa; Arthropoda; Insecta; Orthoptera; Acrididae.
GCCCGCGGUGGCUCAGAUGGAUAGAGCGUCUGCCAUGAAAGCAGGAGGUCCCGGGUUCGAGUCCCGGUCGGGGCA